RNAcentral lists this ribosomal RNA (384 nucleotides) under fungal sp. E13020A. RNAcentral describes it as "SSU rRNA". It matches the Rfam family "Eukaryotic small subunit ribosomal RNA", at positions 805 to 1187 of the family's 1831-position model. Lineage: Eukaryota; Fungi. The record is from RNAcentral.
UAGCAUGGAAUAAUAGAAUAGGACGUGUGGUUCUAUUUUGUUGGUUUCUAGGACCGCCGUAAUGAUUAAUAGGGACAGUCGGGGGCAUCAGUAUUCAAUAGUCAGAGGUGAAAUUCUUGGAUCUAUUGAAGACUAACUACUGCGAAAGCAUUUGCCAAGGAUGUUUUCAUUAAUCAGGAACGAAAGUUAGGGGAUCGAAGACGAUCAGAUACCGUCGUAGUCUUAACCAUAAACUAUGCCGACUAGGGAUCGGACGAUGUUAUUUUUUGACUCGUUCGGCACCUUACACGAAAGUACAAGUUUCUGGGUUCUGGGGGGAGUAUGGUCGCAAGGCUGAAACUUAAAGAAAUUGACGGAAGGGCACCACCAGGGGUGGAGCCUGCG